This 306-nucleotide small RNA is filed under the name Pongo abelii (Sumatran orangutan). RNAcentral's name for it is "processed transcript". The record is from RNAcentral. Lineage: Eukaryota; Metazoa; Chordata; Mammalia; Primates; Hominidae.
UCAGAAUAACUUCCUGCAGCGACCAACAGGCUAAAGAGGGGGAAGGGAUCCAGCACCGGCUCCUCCUCCGGCAACCACGGUGGGAGCGGCGGAGGAAAUGGACAUAAACCCGGGAAUUUUAAAUCCAAGCUGGGUUUCAUUAACUGGGAUGCCAUAAACAAGGACCAGAGAAGCUCUCGCAUCCCGUGACCUCCAGACAAGGAGCCACCAGAUUGGAUGGGAGCCCCCACGCCCCCUCCUUAAAACACCACCCUCUCAUCACUAAUCUCAGCCCUUGCCCUUGAAAUAAACCUUAGCUGCCCCACA